RNAcentral lists this ribosomal RNA (550 nucleotides) under Funneliformis mosseae. Its description in RNAcentral is "SSU rRNA". It matches the Rfam family "Eukaryotic small subunit ribosomal RNA", at positions 548 to 1098 of the family's 1831-position model. The record is from RNAcentral. Lineage: Eukaryota; Fungi; Glomeromycota; Glomeromycetes; Glomerales; Glomeraceae.
UUGGAGGGCAAGUCUGGUGCCAGCAGCCGCGGUAAUUCCAGCUCCAAUAGCGUAUAUUAAAGUUGUUGCAGUUAAAAAGCUCGUAGUUGAAUUUCGGGACCAAUAUUUCGGUCAUGCCGUUGGUAUGCACUGUUAUCAUUGAUUUCUCACCUUCUAAAGAACCGUAAUGCCAUUAAUUAGGUGUUACGGGGAAUUAGGACUGUUACCUUGAAAAAAUUAGAGUGUUUAAAGCAGGCUCACGCUUGAAUACAUUAGCAUGGAAUAAUGAAAUAGGACAUCCGAUUCUAUUUUGUUGGUUUCUAGGAUCGAUGUAAUGAUUAAUAGGGAUAGUUGGGGGCAUUAGUAUUCAAUUGUCAGAGGUGAAAUUCUUGGAUUUAUUGAAGACUAACUACUGCGAAAGCAUUUGCCAAGGAUGUUUUCAUUAAUCAAGAACGAAAGUUAGGGGAUCGAAGACGAUCAGAUACCGUCGUAGUCUUAACCAUAAACUAUGCCGACUAGGGAUCGGAUGAUGUUAAUUUUUUAAUGACUCAUUCGGCGCCUUACGGGAAAC